RNAcentral lists this transfer RNA (74 nucleotides) under Permianibacter aggregans. It matches the Rfam family "tRNA". From Rfam's summary of the family: Transfer RNA (tRNA) molecules are approximately 80 nucleotides in length. Their secondary structure includes four short double-helical elements and three loops (D, anti-codon, and T loops). Further hydrogen bonds mediate the characteristic L-shaped molecular structure. tRNAs have two regions of fundamental functional importance: the anti-codon, which is responsible for specific mRNA codon recognition, and the 3' end, to which the tRNAs corresponding amino acid is attached (by aminoacyl-tRNA synthetases). tRNAs cope with the degeneracy of the genetic code in two manners: having more than one tRNA (with a specific anti-codon) for a particular amino acid; and 'wobble' base-pairing, i.e. permitting non-standard base-pairing at the 3rd anti-codon position. The record is from Rfam by way of RNAcentral. Lineage: Bacteria; Pseudomonadati; Pseudomonadota; Gammaproteobacteria; Pseudomonadales; Pseudomonadaceae.
GCCCGCUUAGCUCAGUUGGUUAGAGCAUGCGACUGUUAAUCGCAGGGUCGAAAGUUCAAGUCUUUCAGCGGGCG